This 236-nucleotide ribosomal RNA is filed under the name uncultured Actinomycetales bacterium. RNAcentral describes it as "partial 16S ribosomal RNA". It matches the Rfam family "Bacterial small subunit ribosomal RNA", at positions 97 to 334 of the family's 1533-position model. Lineage: Bacteria; Bacillati; Actinomycetota; Actinomycetes; Actinomycetales. The record is from RNAcentral.
GGCGAACGGGUGAGUAACACGUGAGUAACCUGCCCUUGACUUUGGGAUAACUUCAGGAAACUGGGGCUAAUAUCGGAUAGGAGCUCCUGCUGCAUGGUGGGGGUUGGAAAGUUUCGGCGGUUGGGGAUGGACUCGCGGCUUAUCAGCUUGUUGGUGGGGUAGUGGCUUACCAAGGCUUUGACGGGUAGCCGGCCUGAGAGGGUGACCGGCCACAUUGGGACUGAGAUACGGCCCAG